UUCCCAUUUAUAUUUUUCUCUUAUGGUUUGAUUACAGAUCAAUACAUUAGACUAAGUGAAGCCUUUAGAAGACACUAUGAGUUCAGAAGAGACAUUUCUUUUUUUCUUACAAAGACAAAAUUUUAGUUAGAAGUCUACAUCGUAUUUUGAUCAGUGGAUUGGGGUAUAAUUGAAGAGAUAAAGGAUAAAAUUAAAGAUCAGAUACUAUGUUGCUAGACCUAUGAGCUGCAGAGGACCUCCAAUGAGCCUGGAGCAUUGGUUAGGAUAGCAAGCAUCACAUGUUCUUCACUUUUAAACCCAUUGGAAACAUUCAGAAAGUAAUUGCAUACUUAAGGGUCUUUACAAACAACACAAUGAUGAAAAUAGAAGACUCAAUGGUACCAGAAUAAAAUCAAAAAGAAUAUA
This is a long non-coding RNA of Pseudopipra pipra, 405 nucleotides long. RefSeq lists it as uncharacterized. The transcript is spliced from 2 exons. The record is from RefSeq and is a predicted model, not a curated record. NCBI's taxonomy places the organism in Eukaryota, Metazoa, Chordata, Aves, Passeriformes, Pipridae.